CAUAGUCUUAAAUUAGAGGGACAAAGGUUUAAAAAUAAUAUCAGGAAGUAUUACUUUACUGAGAGGGUAGUGGAUGCAUUGAAUAGCCUUCCAGCUGAAGUGGUAGAGGUUAACACAGUAAAGGAGUUUAAGCAUGCGUGGGAUAGGCAUAAGGCUAUCCUAACUACAAGAUAAGGCCAGGGACUAAUGAAAGUAUUUAAAAAAUUGGGCAGACUUGAUGGGCCGAAUGGUUCUUAUCUGCCGUCACAUUCUAUGUUUCUUCUGUUAUUCUUAACAUCGGCCUGCUUACGUUUAUUUUGAGUCUGCUUGCAGACAUUCUGACUUAUUUUCUCUAGCCUCCACACUCUAAGGACCAUUAUGCAUUCCUGCCUUGUCUGUAACCUAGGUUUGUGAAUUAGAGUCAGGUCAGUCCUGACAAUCAUAAAGGACAUUAGUGCAGCAAUUCACCAACUAACCAUUUAACUGAUAAUGUCAACUGUUUGUACAUGUAUGGCUAUUUCCAUACUAUCUUUAAAAUCUUAUAAAAAAUCUUCAAAAACGUGGAAGAUGGUGCUGAAGAUGUACUUAAUGGACUAGUAUAUGUGGGGUACACAAAUGAAUGGAUGGGCAAUAAGUACUUGGAAAACUGAAGUUGAUGCUUAAGAUGGAGACAUAACUGGGAGAAUAGGGAAAUGGAACAAAGCAGCUGUGGGGAAUGUUAAUGGGGGCAAAAAAAUUGCCAAGUGGCUCAUUUACAUUAUACGCUGCCCUGUACCUGUUUGCUACUGUUGUUAAACCUUUUCAAUGAGAAAGCCAUCAAUGGUAUUUUAGUAUUCAUGUAUUUUGUGUGUAUAUUUCUUUUUGCUUAUAAUGUAAAGAACACUAUGGAAAGACAUAUAUUUCCAG
Non-coding RNA from Pelobates cultripes (western spadefoot toad), 885 nucleotides. NCBI's taxonomy places the organism in Eukaryota, Metazoa, Chordata, Amphibia, Anura, Pelobatidae. The record is from the annotation of a GenBank genome assembly.